CAUAUAGAGGAUCAGAAUGCAUUGGCAUAGUGAGGAGACGUCUGGGCAUCAAGUUCUGCAGAGAGAAGAUUUAGCUGGAACAAAUCCUGGCGUGAGGGGCCGGUGCUGGACACUGUGUAGGGACGCGGGAAUGCAAAGUCAUACACAUGACUGUGACUGAUGCACUAUCUCCAGGACAUGGAGUAGCAUUUCCGGACCUACAGCAAGACGUUGGAUGAAGGCAUAGCCCCAGAAAUAACACUGGUCCUGUUCAUCAGUGAGGGGCCGGUGCUGGACACUGUGUAGGGACACGGGAAUGCAAAGUCAUGCACAUGACUGUGACUGAUGCACUAUUUCCAGGACAUGGAGUAGCAUUUCGGGACCUACAGCAAGACGUUGGAUGAAGGCACAGGCCUAGGAAUCAUGCACAUACACAGAAACAUUUGCCCAAAUUAUAGAGGUAUCCUCCUUUAGUAUGCCCAGAGGAAGGGCCAUACAGUAGCCAUGGAUUCCCUACAGGUUUCCUCCCCUCUGGAGGUUUUUCCUGUCCUGAGUAUUAGUUACUGUACGCUCUUUGUGAGUGAUGGGAGGUUACAAAAAAUCCCCUACACAAACAUUUUAAUAAAUAAUAAAUAAAGUUCCCCUUUUUUUA
This is a long non-coding RNA of Hyla sarda, 631 nucleotides long. RefSeq lists it as uncharacterized. The record is from RefSeq and is a predicted model, not a curated record. NCBI's taxonomy places the organism in Eukaryota, Metazoa, Chordata, Amphibia, Anura, Hylidae. The transcript has 4 exons.